UCACAUACAUCUCUCUCUAUAUAAUUAUAUAUAAUCGAAAAUGCUUGAUUUUUUUCAGACCAUCUUGCCCUCGUGGAGCUCUGGUCCCAGAAAUGGGAAUCAUGAAUUAAAGAAGACAGAGAUGGAUGAGUUUGAGUGUUUGAUUGAGGAGAAAAGUGGGAGAAAAUUGAAGAUCGUGAUGAGAAAAGAAACAGCUUUUCGACUGCUUUCCAAGUGCAGAAAUGGAGGCAGACUUGAAUACGAGGAUUUGGCUAAGGAUCUCAAAAAAUUAUCUGCCGACUAUGUUCGUUGCAAUUCCAAACUUGAAUGAUUUCUUUCACUCGAUUCUUGUUUUCCCUUUACUUUGUCGUCUGUUUUUGUUCCCCCCUUUUUUUGUUUUUGUUUGUGGUUAAUUUGAACUUUGAAGAGAGAGGGUCGAUCCAAGAUUGAGAUAUCGACAUAUUGAAAAGUGUUUAUUUAUGAAAUUAUAAUGAAGAAAUCAUAAUGUGAAUCGUAUUGAAG
Molecule: long non-coding RNA, 501 nt
Filed under: Salvia miltiorrhiza (redroot sage)
Lineage: Eukaryota; Viridiplantae; Streptophyta; Magnoliopsida; Lamiales; Lamiaceae
Description: long non-coding RNA (SMIL_LNC010081)
Source: RNAcentral